RNAcentral lists this long non-coding RNA (600 nucleotides) under Equus asinus (donkey). RNAcentral describes it as "lncRNA (ENSEASG00005032423.1)". Lineage: Eukaryota; Metazoa; Chordata; Mammalia; Perissodactyla; Equidae. The record is from RNAcentral.
UUAUGAUACAGUAUGUUAGGCUAGAGCAGUGGGUCUUUAAGUCUGUUCUCUGGACAAGUAGUAUCAAUUUCACCUGGGAAUUUAUAGAAAUGCUAAUUCUGGGGUUCCCCAGACCUUCUGAAACAGAGACUCUGGGAGCAGAGUUGUGUGAUUUGUGCUUCAACAAGCCUUCCAGGCAGUUCUGAUGUGCCCAUUAGGCUAGAGGGAGGCUCACAGAAUUUGCAGAGAGCAGAUCUGGAGACCUGAACCCAGAUGGGGCGAGCCGAGGGCAAGGUGGAGAGUAUGCCGCUGCCUAAAUUUUGCAAAGGAUCAGCAGAAUACUAGUAUAUUGAAGAAGAGAAGCAGGGAAGAAUAAAGAAGAAGAGGAAGGAGAGAAGAGGAAGAGGAAGAAGAAAAAGGAGAAGGAACGUUAAAACAAGAUUAUAAGACUUCUUUAAAUAAAUGAAAUGCCUAUAUUUAAUAAAUUACACUUUUAGGAUUGCAUAAAUAUAUUGCAAUAGAUUCAUGUUAUUAAAAAUAUAAGCACUUCCUCAUGCAUCCACCCUCGGUGUCCCAGAUGGGAUAAAUAAGUCAAAGUUGAAUAUUAAACAUGUUCCAUUU